GGGGUACUGAUGCUGUGCAGAGGAUACCGUUUCUGGAAGUGGGCUGUAUACCACCCCUCACAAUGGGCUAUUGGAUGGUGGUCACAGCUGUCUUACUCCAUCUUACAGUUGAGGAAAACUGAGGCCUGGAGAGACUAUCAAAUUGCUCCAAGGUCACAGUCCCCUGACACAGUUCCUCUUGACCUUGCUGCCUUCUGCCCUAGGUUCUGACACUAGUCUCCUGCAUAUCCUUUCCUGUCUGAGCCUCAUUUUCUCUGUUCCUAGAAGGAGAAAGAUGGAGCAUUAAUUCAACAAUACUUACUGAGCACCUACUAUAAACCAGGCCCCAUCCUAGGCCUGGAGAUUCAGCACUAAUAAGAUAGCCAGGUCUCUGGCCUCACAGAUCUUACACAAAGCUGGCAAGAUAGACAGGAACCGAUGAGCAAGCAAAUGGAAUAGUAAAAGCAAAAACCUUUCAUAGCAAGAGCAAUGGAAGAAAUAAAUGGGGAGUAUGAAGCGUUAUCUGUGGGUGUGGAAAAGUCGUUUUAAACUGGAAGGAAUUAGGGUUCUCCAAAGAAGUGACCUCAGAGAAGAGAGUCUGUCACGGGCAGAUCAAGAGGAAGAGCAGAGACAAAGAUCUCAAUGCUAAUAAGACCCUUGGGAGAGUUAGAAGUUCUUGUCCUAGACAGAGAUGCCCUUUACCUGACUCCAUCAGGAUGGUGGCAAAAUAUGGGAUUCGAAUCCAGGACCACCGUAACCCUUUCCUGCUAAGUCCUUCCACACAGAGAGGCCCUGAGGUGCCAGGCCCAACCAUCUGCCUCUUCACUUAAGAAACAAUUUGAACUCUCCACCCGGAGGCUAGAAAGGGAGGCAGCAUACUUUGAUGUUUGGAGGCUCAGCAGGUCAUUUCCCUGUGUGGGUCCAGAGCAGUGACCCAGGAGUUGGAGACUGUUCAGUUUUCAUGCACGGAGUACAUAUUAUGGAACCAGGCACUGUGCUAGACCCCAGAGAUAUAGCUGCGAGCAAAAUGACAUGUUGCUUACUAAAAUGUAGCUUACAGGCUAAUGCAAGAAAGAGGGAUGAAACACGAGUCAGCCAAUAGACACAAGCUUGCCAUAUGGUGACGAGCAAGGAAGCAGGUCUGCAGGCCAGGAAGCAGGGUCAGGGCAGGGUUUGUUUUGCUGUGGAGACUGGACACAGAACGGGUUGGUCAAGAGCAGACUUGAAGCAAGUAAGGGACUGCCCCAUAUAGGGGACGAAUUUUCCAGGCAGACAGUGGGAGUCAGUAGACCCUACCCCUCGGAGCCCCAGGGAGUGGGUUAGGAGUCUAGCCCAGCCUUAGACAAGCUGUCUGACCCAGGUCCUUCCACAUCUCUGAGCCUUAGUUCUGUAAACUGGCUAAUGGGCAUGGUGCUAGAACAGAAUGCCCAUGUAGGGCAGGGCCUAGGCCAGGUACUCAGGAGGCUCUUAUUAGUCCCCAGCUGUGAGAACCUGGAUGGGGACUACUUUCCGGCCAGCUGGAACGUCAAUUCCAUAUGCCUCACAUCUGCAUCCUGAGCGGCUGCUCUAAGCUGGCCUAUUAUUAUGCUCUGAGGACCAGAGAGGGCAGUGAUGGGACCUGGGAUGAACAGCACAUUCAAUCGGGCUACAU
Molecule: long non-coding RNA, 1630 nt
Filed under: Marmota monax (woodchuck)
Lineage: Eukaryota; Metazoa; Chordata; Mammalia; Rodentia; Sciuridae
Source: RNAcentral